GAUGAACGCUGGCGGCGUGCCUAAUACAUGCAAGUCGAGCGAACGGACGAGAAGCUUGCUUCUCUGAUGUUAGCGGCGGACGGGUGAGUAACACGUGGAUAACCUACCUAUAAGACUGGGAUAACUUCGGGAAACCGUAGCUAAUACCGGAUAAUAUUUUGAACCGCAUGGUUCAAAAGUGAAAGACGGUCUUGCUGUCACUUAUAGAUGGAUCCGCGCUGCAUUAGCUAGUUGGUAAGGUAACGGCCUACCAAGGCAACGAUGCAUAGCCGACCUGAGAGGGUGAUCGGCCACACGGGAACUGAGACACGGUCCAGACUCCUGCGGGAGGCAGCAGUAGGGAAUCUGCCGCAAUGGGCGAAAGCCUGACGGAGCAACGCCGCGUGAGUGAUGAAGGUCUUCGGAGCGUAAAACUCUGUUAUGAGGGAAGAACAUAUGUGUAAGUAACUGUGCACAUCGUGACGGUACCUAAUCAGAAAGCCACGGCUAACUACGUG
Molecule: ribosomal RNA, 497 nt
Filed under: uncultured bacterium
Lineage: Bacteria
Description: partial 16S ribosomal RNA
Rfam family: Bacterial small subunit ribosomal RNA
Source: RNAcentral